CUUAUUCAUGCACCUUACUCAUUCUUCCCUCGCUUCAAUUUCAAUGGAAAAACGAACUGAUUGCUUUCGUAGUUCCGACUUGGCUGGACAUUUCUAGAAGGGAUUUUCUUCUCUUCAACUGCAAGAUUCAUGCAUAACGCUUCCUCAUCUCCUCAUGUAAAUUAAAUACUGCCAGCAAUGAUCUCCGUUUACGACUCUUCCCCUACCGUUUAUCUCCUUCAAAAUCCUUUCUCGGCUCGCUUUUGCUCCCAAAAUUGCUAUCCGUUGAGAACCCCAUCUUUCUUUGUAUCUCUCUGACUGUGUUUGUAUGAUUAGAUUAUUUUAAUUAAAUCAUAUUGAAUGGUUUGAUUGAGGCCCUUUUCUGCUUUUUUAACAGUCAACUGCUCCCAAUUUGCGAUCCGGGUUCUUGAGAAAUCAUCUUAAACAAUUGCAGAAACAGGAAGCCGGAAAUCGGCAUGGGUAUUUUGUAUGACGAUGUGGUGACCGUCAACCCAACACGGAUGGAAAGCGACCCAACCGUGAUUGCUGAUUUCAUGCAAUUUGUGCCGCAUCAAACCCUUCUUUGGUCUUAGCAUCGUCAGAGGAACUUGCUGGCCAGUCAAUACAGAAUCUGGAACUCUUGGGAGUUCAGGUCAGUUUUAAGAUAUAGGUUUUGGCUUAUUCUUUUGAAUGUUUUAUCACUUACAAAGCUUCUUUAUGGUUGGAGGUAAAGUCCUUACUUUAGUGACUGUUAUAUACUGCUUCAUGAUCUUUCUGUUUCAUGAGAAGGUAGGUGGCACUACUUCAUUCUGAAAUUUUCAAACUAGACCUUGACUAUUGCGUGUGAAGGCUUGCAAAAUUUUAAAUUAAAUGUACAGUGGGCUGUCCAUCUUGACGCUUGUUAGGAUGGAGCCUUAGAACAUGCGGCGCAGGACAGCAAGUGGUGAGAUUGAUAGAAACACUAUGGAACCCAUAUAUUCUAGAGUACAAAGAUGGGUGGUGUAAAAGGGCUGAGAUGAUCAAGAGAACUAAAGGGAAGCUUAUUCCAUAAGAGAAGCUCUGCAAAUGGCUGAGCCAACUAUUACUAGCUGUGGACUACCUGCACUCCAAUUGGAUCGUUCACAGAGAUCUAAAAUGCUCCAAUAUAUUCUUUACGAAAGACAACAACAUUCGACUAUAUAAGAAGGCGGCAUGUAUCAAUCAACGAAGAUGAGCUUGCAAUCCAUGGCAUGCCUUGCCAUAUUUUUUGGACUUCCAGGACUGCUCAGUGCCCAACAAAGAUGACCUUGCUUCCUCCGUAUUGACUGCAUUCGGCCUUUUGGGUUUUGUCUAUAGCUUCUUGAGUAUCUCUAGAGACUUUCGACAAGUUAGACUAGCAGAAUAUAUACUAGUUUAGUAUCUAAAUGGAAUUAGGCAGAGUGUGGACUAUAUUGAUAAUGAGACGAUGCGUCUUACACAAACACCUGUGUCACCAAAUUCCUUGGCCUUCACAUAUAUCUUUGUAUUCAUGUUGUGGGAUCUGCAAACUGUAUGUCCAGAGCUUCUUGCGGAUAUGAUGUGACAAACCACAUGGUUUUUUUUUCUUUUUUAUGACAAUAAAUGAUGUAAAUUUAUGAUACUAACUCGUGGUGGUUAUAAAUUAUUAGUUUCUGGACUUGCGGUCUGAAAGUAACUAUUUUUCCCCU
Long non-coding RNA from Tripterygium wilfordii, 1664 nucleotides. RefSeq lists it as uncharacterized. Lineage: Eukaryota; Viridiplantae; Streptophyta; Magnoliopsida; Celastrales; Celastraceae. The transcript is spliced from 7 exons. The record is from RefSeq and is a predicted model, not a curated record.